AUGGAUGAGCACCAAAACUCACUAGUGUACACCAAUAAUUUUGAACUUCAUGACUUCAUUGAUGAUCCAAACUUUGAUCAAUUUGUCGAUUUAAUUCGAGGUGAGAAUGAAGAUGAAAUAUGUAACUUUGGUUCUGACCUUAUCAAUGAUUGUUUCGUUGAUAAUAAUCAUCAUCAGCUUCUUCCAAUUCCUCCAAAUCCAUUAAUAUUUGAUCACAACAGCAACAACAAUAGUAAUAUUGUGAAUGUGUUUGAUCCAAGCUCUAGCACAAUUGGCUCCUUCUCUAGUUAUUCUAGGGAGGUUAAGGGAGAAGGAGAAAAUGAUGGAGAUGAUUCUUCGGCACCAACAAUCACAACGACUGGAAUUGAUGAUGGCAAACCUAGUGGUAAAACCGAUAGGUCUAAGACACUCAUUUCCGAAAGGAGAAGGAGAGGUCGGAUGAAGGAUAAGCUUUAUGCGUUGCGCUCUUUGGUUCCCAAUAUUACAAAAAUGGAUAAGGCCUCAAUAAUUGGGGAUGCAGUAUCAUAUGUGCAUGACCUUCAAACACAAUCUAGGAAGUUAAAGGCUGAGGUUGCAGGACUUGAAGCAUCCUUAUUAGUGUCUGAAAAUUAUGAAGGAUCAAUUAACAACACCAUUAAUGCUCAAAGCCAUCCCAUUUGCAAGAAAAUUAUCCAGGUGGACAUGUUCCAAGUGGAGGAAAGAGGAUAUUAUGCAAAAAUAUUGUGCAAUAGAGGAGAAGGAGUAGCUCCUUCAUUGUACAAGGCUAUUGAAUCUCUUGCAAAUUUCAAUAUUCAAAAUUCAAACUUGGCUACAGUUUGUGACAAUUUUCUACUUACAUUUACAUUGAAUGUAAAUGGUUGUGAACAAGAAAUGAACCUUCAAAAUUUGAAGCUAUGGGUGGCUGGUGCACUUUUGAACCAAGGCUUUGAAUUCAUGCCAUCCUUUUGAGCCAUUGCAUGAAGUAGUAUUCCACGGGAAGAUUGCUAGAAAAAAUAAAUUAAAGAACCCUGGUGGCUCAAAUCAUAAAGACAUUGUAGAGAAGAUGGCUUUUCCCGGUGUUUGUUGGGACCACCAGACCACGGUGGUUGGUAUCGACAAUAGAGGUAAGGACCAUCAGACAACCGCGGUUAGAAGGACCAUCGGUAAGUAGGACCAGUUCUCUAACUCGAAGUGAUAUACAUGAGGGUCAUUUAAGGCGGACAGUUGGUCAAAGGACCAACCUAGAAGUGGGGUGUGUACCUGCAACUAUGCAAGAACUUUGACUAUCAACUAAGUAAGUGCAUAAAGUGAGAGGUAUUAGUUAUAAUAGAGCAUACUUGAGCUUGAACCAUAAAAGGUAGGCUUUAUAGUUAAGAGGUAAUGAAUAAAAUGUCAAAUAAAUUUCAAAAUUUGUCAAAUACCUCACUGAAGUUUAGAAAUAAGUAAAUACCUUCCUGAAAUUGUAAAACGUCAAUCAAAUUGCCCCCUGCUCCGUUUACUCAGUCUAUUUUGAUGAGGAAAAGAUGGAUGAGACAAGAAUUGAUAAAGAGUAUGAUGUUGGUGAAUGAGGUUUCUUGUCUGGUUAUGAAUCUGAUGACUCAGAUUGGUCUAUUGGGUGGUUAGAACCUCUUGAUUCUAAUUUUGAAAGCAAUGAUAAUGAUGAUGAGGAUAAUUCUGGUAAUGAUAGUUUUGUUGUUUCGGUUCCUUGUUAUUCACCUGGUUGCAAGGAGGUUGAAGGUUCAAACAAUGUGCUUUUGAAGGCUCAAAAUAGACGGAGCAAACGAAGCAGUGGGCAAUUUGAUUGACGUUUUCCAAUUUCAAGGGGGUAUUUGCCUAUUUCAAAUUACAAGGGGGUAUUUGACAUUUUACUCAAGAGGUAACAUUCCUAGGCGAUAAAACAUUCUACUAGACAGUUGUCCCUGUAGACAGCAAACAAAUUGUCUAAGGUUCUUGAUCUGAUGGAUAUGAUGGGUCUGUUGAGACAAAAUCCUAUAUUGAUGUUUUAAGUUGGACUUAUUAAAGGAUCAUAACAGUGCAAAUAAGUCAUUUAGGGCAAAUAAUCAAUUUUGGUUUAUGGACUUACUCAUAUAAGCUUCUUUAAGGAAUAAUAACUUCACAUCAUGCAACAAGGCUCUAUGUUCUCCAAGAACAUCAUUAAAGAAGAUAAUCUAGACCAAUGAGAACUCAACAACAAGUGGCGAUAGCUUGUAAGGAAGCUCCACAUCUGAUCCAAGUACAAGGGUAUGACAAGGGUGGCUACAUUCUUCCAUAAAAAUGUACUCACAUCACUAUUCAUGUGUACUUUGAAGGACAAGUGAACAGUUGUUAUUCUAUGCCUUUGUUGAGCAUUUACAGUUGUUUGACAACUUGCAACAGCUCAAAAAUUCAUUGGACCUUAUCCACACCAUUUCAGAGAAUGGUCUCCAACAUCGUGGAGAAUUAUCUCCCAAGUUUUUGCACUUAGGUGUCAAUCUUAUUCAAAGGCAUUCAAAUCUUAUUUCCACACAUGGGAAAUACAUUUGCAACAGAUAUAUGCUCAGAAACAACUCAUUGACAGUUGGCUAAGGAAUAUUUCUGUCAACAAGUACAAUGUGACAGUCAGAGACUAUUAAAAGAAUGAUCUCCUGGAGCAUCUAAAGGACAAAAUCACAUAGACUGUUUUGUUUCUCUCUCACAACGGCUAUUUCUUCACUCAAAACAUAUAUGUCUGAUGUCCAAACAACAAGGGAGCAUCUCCAUCUAUAAAUAGCACGUUGAUUUGGUUGGAAGAACAAGAACUUGAAUCACAAAAGCAAUCUAAUACAUUCUAUCUCAAGCAAUCAAGCUCUUCUUUUCACUCUUACUCUAAAGCUCUCUAGAAAUCUAGGAUCAUAUUUCGAAGAGUACUUUGAGUGUAUAAUUUGUAAGCAUCAC
This is an RNA transcript of Trifolium pratense (red clover), 2892 nucleotides long. It is a transcript of the gene named transcription factor FER-LIKE IRON DEFICIENCY-INDUCED TRANSCRIPTION FACTOR-like, with no coding region annotated. The record is from RefSeq and is a predicted model, not a curated record. Lineage: Eukaryota; Viridiplantae; Streptophyta; Magnoliopsida; Fabales; Fabaceae. The transcript is spliced from 5 exons.